GUGUCAGCCGCCGCGGUAAGACGAACCGUCCGAACGUUAUCCGGUAUCACUGGGCUUAAAGGGUGCGUAGGCGGCUCCGUAAGUUGGAUGUGAAAGCCCUCGGCUCAACCGAGGAAUUGCGUUCAAAACUGCGGGGCUCGAGGGAGGCAGAGGUGAGUGGAACUUGCGGUGGAGCGGUGAAAUGGGUUGAGAUCGGAAGGAACGCCGGUGGCGAAAGCGGCACACUGGGUGGCAACUGACGCUGAGGAACGAAAGCCAGGGGAGCGAACGGGAUUAGAUACCCCGGUAGUCCUGGCCCUAAACGAUGAGCACUAGACGGGAGGAGUUUCGACUUCUCCGGUCGAAGCGAAAGCGUUAAGUGCUCCGCCUGGGGAGUAUGGUCGCAAGGCUGAAACUCAAAUGAAUUGGCGGGG
RNAcentral lists this ribosomal RNA (413 nucleotides) under uncultured prokaryote. RNAcentral describes it as "bacterial SSU rRNA". It matches the Rfam family "Bacterial small subunit ribosomal RNA", at positions 505 to 918 of the family's 1533-position model. The record is from RNAcentral.